AUGGCCAGUCCGCUGUCGCCUGUCUUCUUCAUCACCAACUGCCGACGUGAAAGCAGGAAGUCAACAGCGCCUCCGCGCAGGACCACCGGCGCCGUCCGCUUCAUCGUCGUCACGCACGACCACCAGCGCCUUCCGCAUCAUCAUCAUCACGCACGACCACCGACGUCGUUGUCACGCACGGCCGCCGUCGCCGUUCGCUCUCGUCGUCGACUUCAGCCUCGUCUUCUUGGCUGCUCGACGCCGACCUCCAUAGUGGAGGCGCAGGCCCGGCGCGGCGUAGGCGCGCAGCGCUCCUUCCUCUGGCGCCGGUCGCCGGCGACGGUCUCGGUGGCGGGGGUGCGCUGCAACAGCAACCUACGAAACAACUUCGUCCCGCAACCGAUGGCCGUUCGGGAUUGA
This 399-nucleotide ribosomal RNA is filed under the name Triticum aestivum (bread wheat). Its description in RNAcentral is "partial small subunit ribosomal RNA". The record is from RNAcentral. Lineage: Eukaryota; Viridiplantae; Streptophyta; Magnoliopsida; Poales; Poaceae.